This 1199-nucleotide long non-coding RNA is filed under the name Salmo salar (Atlantic salmon). RNAcentral describes it as "lncRNA (ENSSSAG00000122287.1, ENSSSAG00075065354.1)". Lineage: Eukaryota; Metazoa; Chordata; Actinopteri; Salmoniformes; Salmonidae. The record is from RNAcentral.
CCAAGAACAUAUAUCCAAAUACUCUCAAAAAUAAGAGUAUGGUUAUCGUACAGUGUUGUUCCCUGGUAUGUAAAAAAGGUCAAAGAUAUGUCACAAGAUGGAUUGGUAGAUCAGUGGAUAAGUGGGUGGCGGAACUGGUGUGAUCAGACGCACCUUCAGAGAGUUAGCUAAUCAUACAGGUAGCUGGGAAUUGGCUGUCAUUUCCUUCAAAAGCCCCGUUCUGUGUUGUUUGUCUGCUGGGAGUUGAGCGCAGAAUGUCUCUCCGUUGGGAUUGGGCCCCUAUAUAAGUUUCCAUGUCUUGGGUGUUUGCUGUGAUUGCACUGGACCAUUGUCUGCAGGAUGAGAAGUCUUACUGACGAAUUUGAGUGAGGAACGACGACGAACUGGGGCUGCGGAGCUGAGUGGUGAUCCGAGAGCAAAGGACCGAGAGGGGCAUUGGUACAAUGCACAUCUAGGAGCUUUAGCUCCGCCAAGUUUCCCUGGCGUCUGUCUCCCGCUUGUUCAGCACCGGAGGCGGGGCCAUCGGUGACGUCGCCGAGCAGAGUCUCAGACAGGGCGCGUUCCAGGACAGGGAGCUGUGCGGAUCUGGAUAUCUCCAGACAAAGACAUGUAUUUUAUUUUUGUGGGGAUAUGGUUCUCGUUGGGCCCUAGAAAUCAAUAACCAGGGGCCUCCUCCUACUACCAAUUGGAUACCACGAAAUUGGGGAGAAAAAAGGGGUAAAAAGAAAUCAAUAACCUAUCCCCAGCCACUUUAUAUGUUGUCGGUCUUUUUCCCUGCCUGUUUUGUCACAUAGCAGUAGAGGGUCCUUUAGAGGGGUUGGCGGAGUAGAGCACGGCCAAGGGUUGGUCCCAUAUUGUGUGCAGCACUAGAGUGAAAUUGUAGUGCCUUUCACGUUAUUGUUUGCAAUGCCUUCCCUUCAAAUAACUAUUGUUGCUGUGCCAUAUCAGAAUAAUUCAGUGUGAGUGAGAUUUGUUGUGCUUUUUACCAUAUUGUUGCAGUGCUGUAUCAGAAUAAUUCUGUGUGUUGCAGGGUCACUUUCGCAUGGCUGAUACUUACCUGAGGGAUUAAGGGGGAGGGUAACCUACCUGAGGGGAAGCUCUGUCGACAAAGCCCGGGAAAUCGUACAGUCUGCUGUGGGGUAACGGGGUCUGAUCCAUGUUAUGUCCACAAAUUUAAAAUAAAACUUACCUUGAGCAUA